This 429-nucleotide ribosomal RNA is filed under the name Chloroflexota bacterium. Its description in RNAcentral is "Chloroflexi bacterium partial 16S ribosomal RNA". It matches the Rfam family "Bacterial small subunit ribosomal RNA", at positions 355 to 776 of the family's 1533-position model. The record is from RNAcentral. Lineage: Bacteria; Bacillati; Chloroflexota.
UGGGGAAUAUUGCACAAUGGGCGCAAGCCUGAUGCAGCCAUGCCGCGUGUAUGAAGAAGGCCUUCGGGUUGUAAAGUACUUUCAGCGGGGAGGAAGGGAGUAAAGUUAAUACCUUUGCUCAUUGACGUUACCCGCAGAAGAAGCACCGGCUAACUCCGUGCCAGCAGCCGCGGUAAUACGGAGGGUGCAAGCGUUAAUCGGAAUUACUGGGCGUAAAGCGCACGCAGGCGGUUUGUUAAGUCAGAUGUGAAAACCCCGGGCUCAACCUGGGAACUGCAUCUGAUACUGGCAAGCUUGAGUCUCGUAGAGGGGGGUAGAAUUCCAGGUGUAGCGGUGAAAUGCGUAGAGAUCUGGAGGAAUACCGGUGGCGAAGGCGGCCCCCUGGACGAAGACUGACGCUCAGGUGCGAAAGCGUGGGGAGCAAACAGG